Molecule: long non-coding RNA, 1206 nt
Filed under: Nicotiana tabacum (common tobacco)
Lineage: Eukaryota; Viridiplantae; Streptophyta; Magnoliopsida; Solanales; Solanaceae
Description: long non-coding RNA (NTAB_LNC016331)
Source: RNAcentral
UUGUAUUAAAGUGGAAUUUAUACGUAUGGCUAAUUAUUUGGGAUCAAUCAACAUCUGCUAGUAGUAGUCAUCUCUAUUGCAAAGGAAGAAGAUUCAAAAGGAGGCAAUUGUACGAGACUGUAUCACAAUAAUAGCAAAACAGGAACAUGUGCUCCUAACCAACGCACCAUCAAGGGCGGAGCUUUGUAUUUCCGAAAACAUGACUUUAGAACACGAUCGGAAUCAGAACCUCAACUGAAGACCGGCAGCAACAAAUUGAGAACAAAUUUCAGCUCAAUACUUCAGAAAUCAAGCUAAGCACGCUAGUCGAAUUCAUUCAAAUCAAUUAACUUAAACGAUCUAGUACAAGUUCAGCUAUAACUCAAUCUUUCCAAAAUUUUCAGCACAUAUGGACCUUAAGCACAUCACAGCAACUCUAUUGAACACAACCAAGCAUGCUUCGCAAAUUCGAUACAUCUGUAAUUCCCCACCAGAAUUUGAUGACAGUGAUAUAAGUUAAACAGGUUUAAAUCUUCUAACAUACAAAUUACUCAGAAAAAGAUUCAAUCAUAUAAAGAUAACAAGUGUAUCAAAAUUUCAUGGAGAGGAACAAAAGACACGUUUCGUAUUAUGUCCAAGUAAAACUUGAAUUCAUAGUUGAAUACCUGGUUGGGCAAGAAAUGAUUGAAAGAGCCAAAGAAAAACACAACAAAGAGGGCUGAAGUUCGGCAAACACGAGCAGAAAUUAGAUCAGAACCUCGAGCAACAGCUGGGAACUCGACUCGGCACCACGAAUCUCGAAUUGGACAUGAACUCAAACCCAAAUAUCAAUCAAAUCCCAUUUUUUGCGACAAAUAAACCCAGGCAAACAUUCUCUCCAUCCGUCCCGAUUUUCUGUAAGUUCUCUCUACUGUGUGUGUGUGUGUGUGUGUGUUCAGCGACUGAAAUCCACGAAAAAGAUGAAGUUUCGCUAGAGGGGGGCGUUUUUGGCUGACGAAGGUGAUGAAGAAAAAGAAGACAGCUCAGGGGUAUUGUUUGGGGUGCCAGCGUUCAGGGGUUUUAGCUCCAGAGGAAGCCAUGGAAUUUUUUGUUGUUUCUUCUAUGAAGACCGUCGAUCAGGGGGUGGGUCUCCUGUGUAUUUUGUUGAGAAGAUGAAGUUACAGGGGAAUAGGGUCUUUUGUGCGUAGCUGCUCCUCAGCUUUUUUUUCAGCCUUUUCUUCGUUAUCC